AACGAACGCUGGCGGCAUGCCUAACACAUGCAAGUCGAACGAGACCUUCGGGUCUAGUGGCGCACGGGUGCGUAACGCGUGGGAACCUGCCCUUAGGUUCGGAAUAACUCCCCGAAAGGGGUGCUAAUACCGGAUAAUGUCUUCGGACCAAAGAUUUAUCGCCUUUGGAUGGGCCCGCGUUGGAUUAGCUAGUUGGUAGGGUAAAAGCCUACCAAGGCGACGAUCCAUAGCUGGUCUGAGAGGAUGAUCAGCCACACUGGGACUGAGACACGGCCCAGACUCCUACGGGGGGCAGCAGGGGGGAAUAUUGGACAAGGGGCGAAAGCCUGAUCCAGCAAUGCCGGGGGGGUGAUGAAGGCCUUGGGGUUUUAAAGCUCUUUUCCCCGGGAUUAUAAUGACGGUACCGGGAGAAUAAGCCCCGGCUAACUCCGU
Molecule: ribosomal RNA, 432 nt
Filed under: uncultured bacterium
Lineage: Bacteria
Description: partial 16S ribosomal RNA
Rfam family: Bacterial small subunit ribosomal RNA
Source: RNAcentral